CACCACUCAAGCCUCGCUUGGUAUUGGGCAACGCGGUCCGCCGCGUGCCUCAAAUCGACCGGCUGGGUCUUCUGUCCCCUAAGCGUUGUGGAAACUAUUCGCUAAAGGGUGCUCGGGAGGCUACGCCGUAAAACAACCCCAUUUCUAA
RNAcentral lists this unclassified non-coding RNA (148 nucleotides) under Cladosporium cladosporioides. RNAcentral describes it as "sequence contains ITS2". RNAcentral also lists the same sequence under 1 other name. The record is from RNAcentral. Lineage: Eukaryota; Fungi; Ascomycota; Dothideomycetes; Cladosporiales; Cladosporiaceae.